Molecule: ribosomal RNA, 497 nt
Filed under: uncultured bacterium
Lineage: Bacteria
Description: partial 16S ribosomal RNA
Rfam family: Bacterial small subunit ribosomal RNA
Source: RNAcentral
GAUGAACGCUGGCGGCGUGCCUAAUACAUGCAAGUCGAGCGAACGGACGAGAAGCUUUCUUCUCUGAUGUUAGCGGCGGACGGGUGAGUAACACGUGGAUAACCUACCUAUAAGACUGGGAUAACUUCGGGAAACCGGAGCUAAUACCGGAUAAUAUUUUGAACCUCAUGGUUCAAAAGUGAAAGACGGUCUUGCUGUCACUUAUAGAUGGAUCCGCGCUGCAUUAGCUAGUUGGUAAGGUAACGGCUUACCAAGGCAACGAUGCAUAGCCGGCCUGAGAGGGUGGUCGGCCACAAUGCAACUGAGACAAGGCCCAGAAUCCUACGGGAGGCAGCAGUAGGGAAUAUUACGCAAUGGGCGAAAGCAUGACGGAGCAACGACGCGUGAGUGAUGAAGGUCUUCGGCUCGUAAAACUCUGUUAUUAGGGAAGAACAUAUGUGUAAGUAACUGUGCACAUCUUGACGGUACCUAAUCAGAAAGCCACGGCUAACUACGUG